GAAAAGAACAUUUCCAAACCAAACCAACUCAUGAACAUGGUUAAACACUUUUGUAUACACAUGGUUGCAAAUUUACAAUUCAAAAGGGAAUUGUUUGGUUAAAAUACAUUUAAGGUUUUCCAACCAGUGAGGAGCUAUACAACAGAAUACAAAACUAGCUCAACUCAUGUUUGAAAACAUCAUAGUCUCCAAAAGGUGAUUUCCUGUAAGGAAAACAAGGAUAAUGGAACGGGCUGAGCUAGAAGCUCAAUGAGGUACCAAAAUAUAACAGUAGAAAUAAUGGGAAAACACUUAUGGGACAAAUAUCCGCAUCAAGUAACCAAAAUAAACGAUCAUCACAAUUCAAAGGAUACAGGUGGCUCUCAGGAGCCAAUUCCCCGUUGCAAUACUUGAUCCAGUCUCGUUGACCCUCCGUCAACGUUCACAUAAAGAAACCAGUCCAGUAGAACACCACUUUAACACCAAAAUCCCAUUCACCAAACAUACCCCUUACCGGGCCCGAACGCCAAACAGGAACAGGAAUGGUAAUACUCGAGUAUACCGGAAUCAAGAGUCUCAAUACCCAAAGAUUCCCUAGGAACAUGUACCCAUGGAUUGUCAAUUAUCUCGACCAAGCCCUUGCUGGCUCGAUUUAAUUAACUCCCCAUGAGGUUGAACUCAAGUUUAACAGGAAGAUCGUUGGACACACUUCCAAACGAUCUCAUAACAAGUGCAAGUAACAAGUCCAAAUACAAGUAAUAGAUUCCAGUUCGUUCAGUACAAGCAAGAGAACGAGUGUGAAAAGUACACCCUCGUCUCAUACAAGAUAAACAGUCAGGAAAGACAUUCAAAUAGCAAUUUGCAAGUACAGACAACCAGUUUAGUAAUAAUUCAGGGGAGUGGUGCACUCACCAGUUAAAGCAAGGAUACGUCAAAAGUUUCAACCAAGGUAGGGCUCUAAUCACCAAGAAACCCUAGAAUCAAGAAACCCUAGAAUAACCAAGGUAAACAAUUAUGGCUUCCACAAUCACAAAUCCAGUAAAUGGAAUGUAUAAACGAGGCUCGACUACAUGUCACACGCCUUUCCAAGUUAAGUACUAGUACAAAAGAACAAAAUAUGACUUUUAAGCAAAAAGGAUAACAGUUGGUCCUAGAGUUACAAACAACUCCCAAAACCCAUCAUUUUUACCAAGAUCAACUCAACUUGAAAGAAUCACGUAGUCCUAAAAUUUUUGGGCAGCAUACCCUCUGUAUUUACCUGUUUUCCAUCCAUUUAUGGCUUCAUUGUUUUCCUCAAUCAAUCCCAAAAUCACACACAAAAUAAUCUCAUUUCAAUAGCCGUUCAAUAGGCUCAAAGUGGUACAAGUAUAAAGUCAAGCUAGGACAAUGUCCGGAAAUGAAGUUUAUGCCCUAAAGCCAAAAGACAGUUUUGACGUCAUUUAGUGGAACGGACACAACUGGGGCUACACUUAUCGGAUUGAGGUGUAAUUUACACCGUUUCGAAGCUAAGGAAAAGGGUUACAAUGUUGAAGAAGGCCACUCAGUCCAGUUUGCAAUGUAUCUAGGUCAAAUUUACCAAAACAAUCCCAGAGUUUCCAAUUCGAAGUUUACUGUGGCAGUCCUGAUUCAUUCAGUUAUAUCUCAGCAUAUACAAUUCUAAUUCAACUGAUUCCAAAGCCAUUUGGAAGCUAAGAUACAAGGCUAUAAGUCUAAAGAAGACAUAGACAACCAAAUCAGUAGUAUUCCUGGUCAAAACAACCAAUUACAAAAGCUGAUUAUCAGGUUCGGACAGAAACAGGGCAGCAGGGGUAUUUCACUCUUUUCAUAGGCUACGUUGCUCCGAUUGAGUUGAAAUUUUGCAGGCAACUAUAAAAUAUCAUUCUCUACAACUUUUAUGUUUUAACCGAAGGCUAAUUCGGCCUCUAACUGGGAGAAACAGUACCAGGCAGAAUGGGGAUUAAUUGAAACCCUAAUUCCAAAAUUUCCUUUCAAAGCGAAAAUUUUCCGCAAAUAGCCACAAUUUACGCCUUAAAGCUUCAUUCUAAACCAUUCCCAACCAUCAUCCAUGGCCACAUAAUAAUAAACAUAUAAAAACAGAAAAAUCAUGAAUAAAAUAAAAUUUUCAUCAAUCUGCAUCAAACAUCAUAAAAGCUUCCACUAAAACAUCUUUUUAGCCAUCACAAGUCAUGAAUUCACCAUUAUUGGAAACAAAUAAUGAAUAUUUACACACCAUACCUUGAUAACUCACAAAAGGUAGUACUUAGGUCUCUUGCUUCCAAAACAACUCCACCAACUUCCUCAAUCCUACCUAGUUAGAGGGUUUUAUGGAAUAAUUUCAAGUUUGGAUAGUUGGAUUGCAAGAUUUGUGCAAGAAAUGGAAGUUGAAGGUUGAAGCUUUCUUUCUUUUCUCUCCAUAUGGAAUUCGGCCAAGGAGCUUGU
RNAcentral lists this long non-coding RNA (2418 nucleotides) under Coffea arabica (coffee). RNAcentral describes it as "long non-coding RNA (CARA_LNC006917)". The record is from RNAcentral. Lineage: Eukaryota; Viridiplantae; Streptophyta; Magnoliopsida; Gentianales; Rubiaceae.